UUUUGAUGAAACAGCUGAGAGCAAGAGCUCUCAGAAUUUGUGAAUGGAAUUGUCAGAUUUUUGUGUAUUGGGAAAUUUCAUCAGAUGUAGAACUCACAUAAUACACAGAAAACGAUUGAGAAAGAGUAAAUAAAAACGAUUUAGAAGUUGACAUGACAAAUUAGGUAAGGAAUUUUUAUUAAAUUUAUAAUUAUUUAUGUUUCAAUCAAAGAUACUAAGACUUUUUGUGAUUGACAGAUAUAUACAAUGUCAAUGUCAAGUAUGAAUGAAAUGUCUGUUAAUUACUACAAAUCAUUAGAUCAUUGAAUGAAUAAAUAAUGCAUUUUCAUUCUUAGAUGCUUUCAAAAUUCAGGUAUGCAAAUAUUGAUUUUGUAUUUAUAAUUUUAUACAUGUUAAAAAUUGAUGCAUAAUUAAAAAGAUUUUAUUGAGCUAUUUAUUGAGAAUUUCAAACAAAAAUUUCUGAUAUUGGACUAUUUAAAAUAGUAAAUUUUUAAUUAAGGAAGUAAAAUUUGUAAAUAGUAGCACAUUUACAGGUCUAUUAGUUGAACCAAACAAUUUUGUUGCUCAGCUCGGUUAUAAAUAUUUUUCAUUAUAUUUUUUUUGUACAUUAAAAAUAUAAUUAGGCCAUUUAAGUUUUCUGGUUUGAAUUGUUCUACAUUUGUCAAUUUCGGGGCCUUAUAUACAAAUGUAGCUGACUAUAAGGUAUGGGCCUUUGCUCAUUGUUGAAGGUUGUUUAGUGACCUAUAAUUGUUAAUAUCCGUGUCAUUUAGUCUCUUGUGAAGAGUUGUCUUAUUGGCAAUCAUACCACAUCUCCUGUUUUAUAAGUAUUAUUGUUAUUUCCAGCCUGUGGCAUCAGAAUUGUGUGUACACACAGUGUCACACACAUUUUUAUUUUUAAGACAUCUUUCAAGAGACAACUAACCAAUUUAGUUUUACAUCUUUCAAUGACCAUUCACUUUAUAUUUUUUUUAAAAACCUAGAGGUUCUAACCACUACAUAAGUAAUUUUUGUUUUGGCCUUAGAGUGACCACUCACAUAAAAUUGAUUAACACUUCAAUGUGCUGAUUUCUGCUGUUAAAAUUAGGAAAUAUUGAUCUUGAUAGUGCUUCAUAUUGUAUUCUCAUAGACAUACCACCUGUCAAAGACAGAAUUGUGUCAUUGUACACAGUAGAUUUGUGUCAAUAGUGCCAUCACAACUAGCCAAUUGCAAAAUCAAACCAAAAGUUGUUAAGGACUUCAUGUACAUUAUACCUCAGACCUUAUUUGUUUUAGGGAUAAUUAAUGGUUGUUAACAUGAUCAACUGUUACAGUACAAUGUUUAUGUACAAAAAUGUAAAGAUCAUUGAAAUGAGACUAAAGGUUUCUACAGGGUCAGUAUAUUAAAGAAUAAGUUUGUUCCUGUGGGUCAGGAUUUUAACCCUCUUCAAAACUUUCAGUCCUGCGGAAGACAUGUAGUCUUAAAAUUGUUUCAACCCUGAAGAUUUUUUUUUAUGAUUUGCUGGCGCAUUGGAAUGUCCCACAUUAAUUCACCAAAGCAUCUGGGACUUAACAUGCUAAAAGAAAAUUGGAAACCUUAUAUCAUUUUAAACCAGUUAAUCAGAUUGGAUCAAAUAAGAUUGAUUGAUUGAGUUUUUGGUGUUUAAUUCCUCUUUUUGUACCAUCAGACUAUAUGGGCUGUUUAGUGGCAGCCAGUUUCUAUGGAAGAUCAGAUAAGAACAUUUCAUCUCAUAACACCAAGAUUAAGUUAUAAUCAAAUUGACCCCAGGCAAUUAGAAACAAAAGUAAAACAAACUGGAUAGCUGAGCUGUUAAUAUGGAAACCUUGUUAAUGGCUUAUUAAUACUUGCUUUUAACUUAGUAAUGCCGAUUUUCAUGUUGAAUCGAACUAUGAUAGAAUAUCUGAAUGUGAUAAAAAUCAGAAAGGCGAAUCACAUCCUCUUUGUUACUAUGUAUAACGCCUUGAAAUUAUUGACAUAUUUGGUAGUGAAGUUUGAUAUAAUAUGACUUCCUAUCUUGAUUUUUAAAGGUUUAAUUGCUUCAAGCAUAAGACUAGUCUAACCGUUUUGACAAUGAUUUUAUUAUUCUCGUAAAAAAUGUGUAUGAAAUUAAUGGACUGAUCAUAAUUGUGCAUCAGUGCAGAAGUUUCAAAUCAUCGGAUUUUAUUAUAAUGUAAGAUAAAUGUCUUAUAUAAGUCUUUUGAAUUUACUGGGAACGUCAGGUAAAUGCUAUUUUUGUAGACAAAUAUUACAACAAUAAAAAGGUUUUAAAUUUUCAGUAUGACAAUAUAGCAUAUAUAUUUUUAUUUAUUAUUUUUAUAAUUGAUACGACCUUGAUACUCAUGAUGGCCAAUUACAGUCAAUAUUUGUUAUGUUUUAAAUUCAAAUAAGUAAUUAUGAUAUUUAAAAAACAUUAUUUUAACUUUUUAAAGUCAUAAAGGGGUGCAAGAGUUAAAAACUUAAUAAGUCUAUAAAAUAAUUUUUGUUGUUGUAGAUUAUAUUGAUGUCCAAGAAUUGCAGUAAAUAUUUUUAUGGCCCAUUUAUGGGCAUUAGGUUUUUAUACGACCGCAAAUUUUGAAAAAAUUUUCGUCGUAUAUUGCUAUCACGUUGGCGUCUGCGUCGUCGUCGUCGUCGUCGUCGUCGUCCGACGUCCGAAUACUUUUAGUUUUCGCACUCUAACUUUAGUAAAAGUGAAUAGAAAUCUAUGAAAUUUUAACACAAGGUUUAUGACCAUAAAAAGGAAGGUUGGUAUUGAUUUUGGGAGUUUUGGUCCCAACAUUUUAGGAAUAAGGGGCCAAAAAGGGCCCAAAUAAGCAUUUUCUUGGUUUUCGCACCAUAACUUUAGUUUAAGUUAAUAGAAAUCUAUGAAAUUUUGACACAAGGUUUAUGACCACAAAAGAAAGAUUGGGAUUGAUUUUGGGAGUUUUGGUUUCAAUAGUUUAGGAAUAAGGGGCCAAUAAAGGGCCCAAAUAAGCAUUUUUCUUGGUUUUUGCACAAUAACCUUAGGUUAAGUAAAUGGAAAUCUAUGAAAUUUAAACACAAUGUUUAUGACCACAAAAGGAAGGUUGGUAUUUAUUUUGGGAGUUUAGGACCCAACAGAUUAGGAAUUAGGGGCCAAAAAGGGACCCAAAUAAGCAUUUUUCUUGGUUUUCGCACUAUAAUGUUAGUAUAAGUAAAUACAAAUCUAUGAAAUUUAAACACAAGGCUUAUGACCAUAAAAGGAAGGUUGGUAUUGAUUUUGGGAGUUUUGGUCCCAACAGUUUAGGAAAAAGGGGCCCAAAGGGUCCAAAAUUAAACUUUGUUUGAUUUCAUCAAAAUUGAAUAAUUGGGGUUCUUUGAUAUGCCGAAUCUAACUGUAUAUGUAGAUUCUCAACUUUUGGUCCCGUUUUCAAAUUGGUCUACAUUAAGGUCCAAAGGGUCCAAAAUUAAACUUAGUUUGAUUUUGACAAAAAAUGAAUCGGUUGGGUUCUUUGAUAUGUUGAAUCUAAAAAUGUACUUAGAUUCUUGAUUAUUGAAGUUUUUUUUGGUCCAGUUUCAAAUUGGUCUACAUUAAGGUCCAAAGGGUCCAAAUUAAACUUUGUUUGAUUUCAUCAAAAAUUGAAUCCUUGGGGUUCUUUGAUAUGCCAAAUCUAACUGUGUAUGUAGAUUCUUCAUUUUGGUCCUGUUUUCAAAUUUCAAAUUCUACAUUAAAGUCCAAAGGGUCCAAAAUUAAACUAAGUUUGAUUUUAACAAAAAUUGAAUUCUUUGGCCUCUUUGAUAUGCUGAAUCUAAACAUGUACUUAGAUUUUUGAUUAUGGGCCCAGUUUUCAAGUUGGUCCAAAUCAGGAUCUAAAAUUAUUAUAUUAAGUAUUGUGCAAUAGCAAGUCUUUUCAAUUGCACAGUAUUGUGCAAUGGCAAGAAAUAUCUAAUUGCACAAUAUUGUGCAAUAGCAAGUAUUUUCAAUUCAGUAUCUUUGCAAAUAGUAAGCAAGAAAUAUCACAAUAUUGUGCAAUAGCAAGAAAUUUUUUUAAUUGGAGUUAUCUUUCUUUGUCCAGAAUCAACUUAAAUCUUUGUUAUAUACAAUAUACAAUGUAUAUACACUUUUUACUACCAACUGAUAAAUUUAAAUAAUCUUUACCAUUCAGUGAUAACAAGCAGUUUUUUUACAUCUUAAUAUUUUAUGAUGUAUUUAAAUGAGUAGUUAUUGUUGCAAACUCCAUUAGAAAUUUGAAUUGAUAUCAGUUUUGAAAAAGGGAAACGGGGAUGUGAAAAAAAGGGGGGGGGGGGUUAAAUUUUCUCAUUUCAGAUUUCAUAAAUAAAAAGAAAAUUUCUUCAAACAUUUUUUUGAGAGGAUUAAUAUUCAACAGCAAAGUGAUUUGCUCAAAGGCAAAAAAAACCUUUUAAGUUCAUUAGACCACAUUCAUUCUGUGUCAGAAACCUAUGCUGUGUCAACUAUUUAAUUUUAGAUUUAAAAAGUUUGAAGAAGAAAUCUUUAAUUGAUUUGUAAAAUCUUGGCAUUUGUUUUGUGUAAAAAAAAACCAUGUAAUGUCAAAAAUUUGAUCACAAUCCAAAUUCAGAGCUGUAUCAUGCUUGAAUGUUUUGUCCAUACUUGCCCCAACUGUUCAGGGUUCGACCUCUGCGGUCGUAUAAAGCUGCGCCCUGCGGAGCACCUGGUUUGGUCUGUGGCUCCGUUUGUCUGUCCUGCUCCUGGUUAAAGUUUUUGGUCGAGAUAGUUUUUGAUGACGUUGAAGUCCAAUUAACUUGAAACUUAGUAUACAUGUUCCCUAUGAAAUGAUCUUUCUUAUUUUAAUGCCAAAUUAGAGAUUUUAUCCCAUUUUCACGGUCCACUGAACAUGUGAUAGUGUGAAUGGGGCAUCCUUGGGUUAUGGACACAUUCUUGUUGGUAUUUUGAUUAAUCUGACAAUACAGAAAAAGGGGAACAAUCAAAGAAAUAUAAUUAUCAUGUUUUCUUGGCUAAAAAAAAGAAGAGGAAAGUAAUUCUAUUCAGAAUCCUUUCCAGACCCAUUCCCCCAUCUCCCCUUUCCCCCUGUUUCUGUCUAUGUCUUAGAUACAGGAGGCAAUCAUGCUAGUCAUGUGCAACAAGCUAUUUUUUAAGGCACAUCUUUCCUCUGGGACUAAUACAUUUUGUAAUAUCUAUCAUUUUUAUCGAAAUAAAAAUUUCCAUAUUUUAAAGUCCUCAACAGUGGUCUUUGCUUGAAGAAAUUAUAUUGUUUAUUGGCCUCUAGAUGUUUUUUUCUUUAUUGAUGUGAGGUUGCUGUCUUGUAGAGCUGAUACCCCAUAUCACAUUUUGAUCAUUUUUGAUGUGUCUGGUAGGGUUAAAGAUUCAUAGCCGGGCAUGCAAGAUUAGCAUAAAUCAAUUAAAACUGUCAUUAACAGUUUGAAGUAGCUUAGCCUGCUAAUCAUUAUGGCUAUUGACACUUAAUAUAAGUCCAUUUAAUUAACAAUUACUUAUUAUGUGUUAGCCAUUUAAAUAUACACAAGAGAUUGUUGAACUUUUUUGAAUUGGGGUGAAUAUUUACUUAACCUUUUAAAUCUAAACCAAAUAUUAUCAUUGAAUACACAUCAACCUUUAGGGUAUAUUGAUAUCUUCCAUUCAUUAAAGUUAAAAAUGGCCUUUUGACUGGACCAUAAAUUUUUUAAUGUACUGAUAGUGGUCAAAAGUACCAGUGAUUGACUUUUACACAAUAUAAACUUACUAGUAUUAUAAAAUCAUACUUUCCAAAAUGUUUUUGUGAGGCCAGUUUUAAAGAGCUUUUAUUCAUUUUGGUACUUUUGUAGUUAAUUUGGUAAUGUAGAUUUCCAGUUCAUUGUAUUACAUAAUUGCACUUAAACUUGAGGUUGUAAAUUAAUAACAAUCUUUGUCUUAGAUUUUGACUUUCCUGUUUGGUUCCUUGUCAGUCUUUGGUGAAAGUAAAUCUCAGUGGCAAUCAUACAAACUAUCCUUGUUUUUAAACUAUAUUUUAUUGGGCCUUCAAAAUUUUCCAAAGACAUUUGGAUUCUAUACAACAACUUAAAUAUAUAUGUAUGGAUCUGUAUGAAAUUGUACCACAAGGUUCUAUACCACGAAAGGAAGGGAUUUUGUUCCAACUGCGUAUGAAUAAGGGCCUAAAACAAGCAUUUCCUUUGUCUCAGGACAAUAUUUAAGAGCUGCUUCAAAGCUUGAAUGUUGUGUCAAUACUUGUGGACGUAUCAAGCUGCGAAGCAUUUUAUUUCAAUUAGGCCAUAUAAAAAUGUAUGUGUGCACAUGGUUCCAGUACCCUACCACCCUACUUUUUAGUCUCUGUAAUAGCCUACCCUAAAGACUUUUGCCAUUUUGCAUUAAGCACUGUUAAAGUCAGAAUGUUUUUCCCAUAGACUCAAUGUAAGAAUAAAACAAAAAAUUUUUAAAAAUCCCUACCGACCUACCCUAAUAUUUGUUAGAUGUAACUGUAACCACACAUAUUAUUUUAUUUGGCCUUAUUUAAAAAUUGUCUGGUAGCUUAGAACAAUGCAUCUUUAAGUUAAUUUUUGAGAUUUCAAAUAUUUUUUUUACUUAUCUGUUGGUAUUUUUUUCAUGCCUUGAUAAAAUAAACAUUUAAAUAAACAAUUUUUUUCCCAUAUCAUAUAUUUAUUUUUGGUAUUUUAUACAAUAGAGUUGUAAACAUCUGUUUCAUACCUUAUGUAUUUAUGCAAUUUACCUACGGCAAAACUAAUACUAUUUCUUGAUUUUUGUUGUAAAUCAUGAUCAAGGACUAUAUUUUUUGUUGAUUUGACAUAAAAUAUACAUAUUAUAAUAAUAUUUAUAGUAAACGCCUAAUAUAAAAUGUCAAUAGAUGUAAAUAUGCUGUUUUAGACAGUUUCAAGGGAGAUAAAUUACAAAUUGGAAUGAAUGUAAGGAUGUAACAUAAUGAGCAGGUAUUUAAAGUAAACAUAUUUAUUCUAAAACAUAAAAACGGGAGGAAAAUUGAGUAAAACUGUUGAAACUUUAAAAAAAUUGCAAAAAUUUGGAAUAAUAUAGUGGAAAGGAAUAUAUCAAAGAAUUGAUGUUUUUUUUUUUUUUUUUUGACAAAUUGUGACUAUUAGAAUUGAGACUUAAUUAAAGUGGGUCUCAUUGGGGAGGUUCUGAUCCCGGAUCCCCCUUACUGUUUUGUCAGAUUCCCGUAACCCAGUUGCACUAUGUAUGCAAUUCUCAUUUUUUUGUAAUUUCCUGUUUCCCGCUAGACUUCAUUUCCUGUUUUCACGACACAAUAAUGUGACUUUCACGUGUCACGCUUACAAAAAAUCGGCACACUAAUAUUAUAAAAUGAAUACCCUCACAGAAUAUAAAAUUAAUGAAUAUUUGAAUCCAUUAUUUUUAUUUUUAAUGUAAAAUUCAUUAGGUUAAAUGAUAUGUACAUGUAUGUUAUUGUUUUAGAUAGAAUUACUGCUAUUUGCCCCAUUUAACAAAGGAUUCGUUUUGCCUCAGUGGGAUGCAGAUUAUUUCCAUUCCAAUUAGUCUGAAGUAUUAUUCCCAGACCUGUGUUAUUAUGGAAUAUGCAGAAAUUUAGUGUUGAAAUAUAAAUAAGAUCUCUGAAAUUACACAUUACAUACAGAUAGACGUGAGAAUAUGAUAAUUUACAUGUAAAAUAUAAAAGAUAGAUUCAAAAAUAAAAUUCUUAAUAAUGGUUUGAUUUUAUAUCCAUUGAAUAUUUUUGAUACUAUAAAAAAUGCAUUAGAGAUCACUUGAUUUAUUUAAAGAAAUAUUUUAUUUUAUAGUAAAGUCAUUCUUAAAUGAAUUAAAGCAAACGUUAUAAAGAAAAAAUCUUAAUUCCGUUAAUGCUGAAAAAAUUAUUACAUUCAUGAGAUAACAGAAAAUGGAAGGGUACACCUUUUAAUUUUUUAAUACACUAUAAAUUAGAGAAGAAAAUCGGGUCAGUUUGCAGUGGUGUUCAGUUCUAUGAUCUCCUCCUGAAUGGAAUCCAGUUAAAUUAUCUCCGCUUGACUUGAAUCCAGUUUAAUUAUCUCCUCAUGAAUAGAAUCCAGUUUAAUUAUCUCCCCUUGAAUUGAAUCAAGUUAAAUUAUCUCCCCUCCUGAAGAAUUGAAUCAGUUUAGUGAUACCCUGAUAUCCAGUUUAUUCCUAAUUCUGUAAAUUUGUUUAAAUGCUUAUUACCAGUAUAACAUUUCCAUAAAGAUAACCAAUGUUUUAGAUUCACAUCAUGACAAGUUUGAUGGAAGGUCAUUAUUUAUAGUUACAAAUGUGCAUCUCGGGGCCCUUGUCCCAAACUUGAACAAACAAAUAAUGAUUAAACUAUAAUAGAUAAUGGAGGAAAUGGGAGGGUGGGAAACAGAUAUGCAAUUUGGUUGAAAAGAACCUAUGACAGUUCUGAUUAUACAUUUCUAAAAGUAGAAUCAAUGCUUUGGCAAGAAAAUAUUAUUUGGUCAGAGGGAAAAAAACAUUGCCACCUUAAAUAAGUGAUUAUGCACUUUUAUAUUAUUCUGUGGGUGAAAAGAAGAUGGUCAAUAAAAAGCAGAAAACAUCUUCCACAUUGUUUACAAGAUGUAGUUUAUUUUAGAACCUCCCCUAAUGACCAAUUAUUUUGCUUGCUGACAGUUGAUCAUUAUGGAGCCAUUACGACAGGAAGUUCAUUUUUAGAAGUUCUGGAAUUAGCUUUUAGUAAGACAUAAAAAAUAAUUGUCUGUAAGAAAAGAACUACUGAUAAAGAUUCUUUGAUUAGCUAGCCAGUUUAUUAAAAGUUUUAUGGUUAACUCAAUUUCAGAAAACAAAUGCUAAAUUGAUCUGCUCUGGGUUAAUAGUUUAAAGUUCUGUAAUAAAAUGGAAUGGAACAUUCAAAUAUCAUUAUUUUCAAUAUUGGAAUAAAUGUAACCAUUGUAAAGAAAGACUUUAUUUAUAUAUAGAAGCUUUUUAUUUGAAGGCAAUUAACAUCUUGUAGUAUAUUCAGAUGGAACAUUUGUAGCACAUUUUUUUGGAGUACAUUUAGGUGGAACAUCUUGUAGUACAUUUAGGUGGAACUUCUUAUAGUACAUCUUGUAGUACAUUUAGGUGGAACAUCUUAUAGUACAUCUUGUAGUACAUUGAGGUGGAACAUCUUGUAGUACAUCUAGGAAUGUUCUAGUAUCUGUUUUUAUUGUCUGUCAUUCACUCAUAGAAGCUCUAGUAAUGAUCGUAUGAAAGGAAAUCUUUAUUGAAAAAAUGGCAUGGACCCUAAGCUAGCUAUAAACUGACCAUUCCCACUUUUAUGUGUUUCUAUAAGAUAACAUUUUUUUCCUGAUUUUAGAUUUGAUUUGAUUUCUUUAUAUAUUUACUUUACCCUAACAUUUCAGUGAUUUUAACCUUGACCUUUUACAUAAGAAGUUGGUACUGUGACCUGAGAUAGUUCACAAAUCUGUCUAAUUGUCACAACUGGAUAGUUGUCUUAUUGGCAAUCAUACCAAAUCUCAUUAUAUGUAUAGUGAUUAUCCUUUAGGGAUUUUGGUGUUGAUAAUAAAUCUUUGAUGGAUGCUGAUAAAUUUAUUCCAUACUUUCUUACACAUAUUGUGUUGGCAUCAUGGGCAUUUUAAUUUACUGUUAAAGAAGGUAUAUUGAUCUCAGUAGAAUGAUGCCUUUUUUUCCAUUGGUGCUUUUAAGAAUGAUGUCUUCAAUUCCAUUGGUACUUUUGGGUUGCUGUCCAGUUAAUGUUUAGUUAUUAGUCCCCACCUGAUGAAAUCAAAGGGGACUUAAGGUUUGCACUCAGUCACAGUCCGUCUGUCUGUGUGUCCAUCCAUCAGUCUGACAAAUCAUUUUACCACAUUUUUUUUUUCUUUAUGCUUGAUUUCGAAGAUAUUGAUUUAAUAUUUGGUGUAUUGUUUUAUCAUGCCAAAUUACAGAUCAAAUUGUUGAAUAUUGAUUGGUCUGAUGAUUUGGUGCAGAUUUAUGGUCCUUUGACUUAGAAAAUUCACUAAAAUAAUCAGUUUCCUCACUUUUUUUUAUCAUUCUUGAAGAUUUAAUAAUUGGUAUAUAGCUAUAGUUUAUUAUUAGAAGUUAUAGGUCAAGUUUGAAAUUUGUUCAGGUCUUAUGAUUUUGUGGAGAGUUAUGGUCCUUGGACUUUGAAAAAAGCGUCUUGCUAUAAUGGUCUCUGUAUGCAUUUUGCAGACAAUGGAAUAACAACGAUUUUGAUCUAAUAUAAAUUUUAAGCACUCCAUAAUUAAAAUAAAAUGAAAAUUAAGGUAUUCUUAAAUAACUUGCUACAACUCUGCUGUAAGUUAUCAUAUCUGUCUUAGACUCUUUCCACAAAAAAAACUUAGAAUUAAAAUUCAUUUUUUAUAUUUAAACAAGUAAUUUAACCACCGAUUUGUUUUCGGGAAAAAGAGCCACAUUUUGAAAACAAAAAUUUUAACGGUAAGUUGUGAGAAGUACAGCACAUGUGACAGAGCUUACUUAGAGACUUCACAAUAUCAGUAUAUUUUAAUGUUUGCAAAGUUGGUUAAAAGAAAUACAAAUAAGACUACCGACACAUUGCAUGUUUAUUUUAAGACUAUUUCAUUUAUUAGAGAAUAAUUGUAAUUAUGGUCAUUACAGUAAACAUUUCUAUAUUUGUCUAUCUCUUCAGAUGAUUUAAUUGCUACAUGUACCAUCACCAUUAACCCUUACCGUGACUUGAUCAAAACUUCAAUUACGAUUCUAAAUUACGGAACUCCUCAUCAUCGAGUAAAAUAUUUUUCAUUACCAAUUCCCUAUUUCCAAUCGUGUAAAUGACAGUGAUGACUAAUGAACUAUUUUUGCAUGUCAAGUUGCUAAAAAUAAAAUGUUUUCACCAAAUCAAAUUCAGCAAUAAAUGAAUAAGAUUAGUGGUUAACCAAGGUUUCGUUUUGUCUUUAAAUUGAUAAUACUAUUGUGUAAUAAGGCUUCGCUACAACAGGAGCAUGGAUAUCAGAAAAACUCUGAAGUUUAGUGUCGUGGAAAAGUAAUAACUGAGACAUUAUGUAAUAUUGAGUAAAAUCAGAACUUUUUUUGAAAAUAUGAUGUGGAUAUUGUUUUUGGAUGAGAAAGUACAGGAAUAAUUGAUUUGUAAGAUGUAGAUAACAUUUCUGAUCUAAUUAACAUGAAGAUACCAUAUGUAGUGUUUAAACCAUGAAUUUUUAAAUGGAAAACCUAUAAGAUUUACUGUGGAUUCAUUAAUAUUCGUUGGAUACCAAUUUUCGUGGAUUUUGUGGGGACAGGGGAACCACGAAUUUAAAUGUUCAGCAAAAUACAGAUUUUCUAAAGAAAUUAAUGUAUGCAGUAUUUGCCAAAACAACGAAUUUACAUAUCCACAUAUAUGCAAGUUUUCAUCAAUCCACAAAAAUUGGUACCCACGAAAAUAAAUGAAUCCACAGUACUCUGAAACCCAAAACUACAGAAAUCUAUCCUUCAAUACUGUACCCUUGAAAAUUCAACACCAAAGGCAAAUGACUCGACAAGGAAACAAUGGCUGACAAUUUUAACCAUUUUUUGCUACAUCAUCACAUUCCACAGAGAAGAUGGGCACCAGUGAUGUCAAUAAGUAGCACUAUCAUUAAACAUGUACUUUGAUAUCAUUAAGAUAUGGAAAUUGGAGGGAGGGGACUUACAUUUUUUACUAAUUUCAAGAAUUAAAUAAAUUCAUGAAAAAUAAUACCUCACACAACAAUAUCAAAGUCAGAAAUGUGAAAAAAGUAUAAGGUUUGGCCCUAAAAAACAUAAUAUUUAAACUAUGUGGUGUUCAGUUUGUUAACAUUGGAACAGAGAUUUUUGUUUUUGGGAUACGAUUGCUUUCAAGCAAUCUGUAGUCUUAUACGAUUGGCUCAGGGUGUCAUGCCCUCACGUCAACCGUUUUAUUCUAAACAUUAAGGAACAUCUCAGAUUCUUAUGAUUGUCUUGGUUUAAAAGGUAAUUAAAAACAAACAAAUGGAUUGAACUUAAACAACUUUCCUAUAAUGUUCUUUUCAUAAUCUUCAUGUUUGAUAUUUCCCUUGACUCAUAUGCAUGUUUUUAACAACACGGAAAAUCAGAAUUAAGCUAUAUUUAUAUUUAGUGUUUUUAUAAAUUUAGAAACAGGUCAGAGGGAAUUCCCCAGUUGUGAUAAAAAUGUGAGAGUUCUCUGAAUUCCGAAAAAUCUAUUUCUGUCAUAUAAGAACUGAAGUGAAGUUUUUCUUAUAUGUCACUGUUAUGAAACUGAUAUUUGAUAAUGUACUUCCAUAAAGAAAUAGAGAACUAUCUAGGUCGUUUAAUUAAUGUACGUUCUUGCUCAGGGUUUGUUUAGGUAAUUAUGUGCAUGCAUAUAGUUUUCUUGACUUCAAGGGGUAUUAGAUUGAAUGGUUGCUCUGGAUUCCCCACUCAAUUGAUUAAUUUAUAACUCCUGGGAUCCUUUCUAUGUAUGUCUGCUAUUGAGGGUUAUUGUUGUUGCAUAAUUUUAAAUCAUAUGCAUCAUUUAAAUUAAAAUAAAUGUAGUCCACAUCGUAAAAGUAACUACAACACCCCUUCAGGCGAAAUGGAAUCUUCCAUAUUAUCGUUUCGAGUUGUCUCCCUUCUGGAAGUAACUUCCGUGAAUUCUGAAUCAAGACGUUGAGAAAAAUAAACUUGUUAUGUUGAUAAAGGUCGUGUUAUAUUAAAAAUGAUCGCAAUUUAAACCGAGGAAUGUGUACGGAAAGAAGUCAUGAUCACUGACCCAAAGGAAAUUAAAUAUUUAAAGAGUUAGGAAUGGGGUUCCUCCUAGAAUUAAUGUAGGAAAAUAGAUACAUGUAAGAUACGAAGUGAAAUACCUUCUCUCCCUCUGAGUCUCAGUGACUGCUGAGGAAAGUAAACUUAAAAUUGAUAGUACAAAACUAAAACACAAUAGGCCGAAGUAUAUUGUUCACAUACUUUUAUCCGGGAUUGGCCGUAUAUUUUACAUUUUUCAUCUGCAGUUGAAUUAGUUUUAUAACCCUCAGAGCAAUCUGCUCUUUGAUUUAUUACCUCUUUGAAAAAUAUGUCUGUUUAAUCUUAUAUUAUGGACAGAUAAUCAAAAUUAUCAUUGUUUUCGGUGUUAAAAAUCAGUGCACUGUAUGUAUCAUACCAAAUUUGACUUUACAAUGUGCAUUUUAGUAAUAACUUUAUAAUAAAUAAUAUACAAUAAUGCAGUAGAAGAGUGCUUCUAUAACAAAUAUAAUCAACCAUUUAUAGGUACUUGAAUGACACUAAACAACUAUUUAUAUCAGUUUCCAUACAUGGUACAUUUGUAUAUUAAAUCAUGACACAAAGUCACUUAACAUGCUCUAAAUUGACAAAUUUGAUAGAACAGAAACAGCAUUUGUAUUUCUAUUCAUCUCAAAAGUUUUAAUGUGGAAUUCAAAUUUGUUCAAUAUCUCAGGCCUUACUGAAAGAACAAAAUGGCCCCUUAGUAAUGAUUUUAGUAGAAUUUUUUGCAAGAUAUAGAUCCCAUUUCAUUAAAGAACACAGCUGCAGUGUUAUAAUGAUAGAUUUUAAGCAAUAUCUUGCAAAGAAGUUUAACAAAUGCUGUCUCAAAUUGCCUGACACCUUCACCUCAAAUUACAGAAACAAUACCAACAUAUCAGACAACCACAUGGCGCAUCAGAAUAUUUUCAGUUAACAUAGUCAGAAAUCAACUAUUUCUCGCUUCGUUUUAGUGACGUUUCAAUUCAUUAUUUUUUAAUUGUUUGCUUUUGUCAAAGUUUCAAGUAUCUUUACCUAUAUAGAAAAUAUUGAUAAUAUCAUUGAUUUAAGGAAAUGUCUAUACAAUUAAUAGAUAGUUGGCUGCACUUGAAAUUACGCAAUCUUUCAAUGUUUGCAUUUUUAUGCAAGUAAUUCUGUGUAUACAAAGAUUGUCUUUGAUUAAACUCUUUGGUCCACAGCAAUAAAAGGCAUUCUAUUUUGAUAAUGUAAAAGCAGAGGGGGCCCAUUGGAAUUAGUAAUUGCAUUACAGCUAAGACGGAUUUUCUUUUUUUCAUGACUCCAUUAUCAGUCUAUAGUGAAAUUGGCCUUAUAAGGUUAGUGAAACUUCAAGCUUUUUAACAUUUCUAAGCUAACAUAGAAGAUAACAUGAUUUUUUUCAUGUUUUAUCACAAGACUUGAAAGACCAAUUUAGUGAUCUAAGCAUAUACAGUACAAACAAGAUGAUUCAGUGAAUAUGAUGUACAUUAUUAUAGAGUUUAGUGAUUCAGUGAAAAUGACUGUACACAUAGAUAUAUCAUCUUUUUGCUUAAAAAUAAAAAGAUUUAUACCUGAAUUUUUAUUCAAUUCAUGCAUGCAUAUAAGACAAUGUCACUUGUGUCAAAUCGUGGAACAUUUUCUUGGUCUAGUUGAGAUUUAAGAGCUUUUUGCAUAAAGGUACUGUAUAUUGCUGUAAGCAGUUAAAGCUAGAUAUCAGAUGUUAUAAUUUACAUGUAAUGCCCCAUUUACCUUAUUUUGUGUAUAAAUCUGUUGCCUCAGUUUUUAUAUGACCGCAAAAAAAUUUUGCGGUCAUAUAUGGUAUGACAUUGGCGUCAUCGUCGUCUUCCUUGUCGUCUUCCUCGUCGUCCUCAUCCGAAGACACAUUGGUUUUCGCACUAUAACUUUAGUUUAAGUAAAUAGAAAUCUAUGAAAUUUAAGCACAAGGUUUAUGUCCACAAAAGGUUGGUUAGGACUGAUUUUGGGAGUUUUGGUCCAAACGGUUUAGGAAUAAGGGGCCAAAAAAGGGCCCGAAUAGGCAUUUUUCUUGGUUUUCGCACAAAUUUUUAUAACUUUAGUAUAAGUAAAUAGAAAUCUAUGAAGUUUAAACACAAGGUUUAUGAACACAGAAGGAAGGUUGGGAGUGAUUUUGGGAGUUUUGGUUCCAACAGUUUAGGAAUUAGGGGCCAAAAAGGGGCCCAAAUAAGCAUUAUUCUUGUUUUUCGCCAAUAACUUUAGUAUAAGUAAAUAGAAAUCAGUGAAAUUUAAAGACAAGGUUUAUGUCAUUUCUAUGUUAUAUUUAACAUUGCCAUUAAAGUGCGAGGUUUGGCAUGCCACAAAACCAGGUUCAACCCACCAUUUUUUCCUUUAAAAAUGUCCUGUACCAAGUCAGGAAUAUGACCAUUGUUAUAUUAUAGUUCGUUUCUGUGUGUGUUACAAUUUAACGUUGCGUCGUUUGUUUUCUCUUGUUUUUGAGUGUAAAUUGACAUUGCGAUAAGACGUGUCACGGUACUUGUCUAUCCCAAAUUCAUGUAUUUGGUUUUGAUGUUAUAUUUGUUAUCUCUGUGGGAUUUUGUCUGAUGCUUGGUCCGUUUCUGUGUGUGUUAGUUUACAUUGUAGUGUUGUGUCGUUGUUCUCUCUUAUAUUUAUGCAUUUCCGUCAGUUUUAGUUUGUUACCCCGAUUUUGUUUUUUGUCCAUGGAUUUAUGAGUUUGAACAGCGGUAUACUACUGUUGCCUUUAUUUAUGACCAUAAAAGGAAGGUUGGGAUUGAUUUUGGGAGUUGAGGUCCCAACAGUUUAGGAAUUAGGGGCCAAAAAGGGGCCAAAUAAGCAUUAUUCUUGGUUUUCGCACCAUAACUUAAGUAUAAGUAAAUAGAAAUCUAUGAAAUUUAAACACAAGGUUUAUGACCAUAAAAGGAAGGUUGGGUUUGAUUUUGGGAGUUUUUGGUCCCAACAGUUUAGGAAUAAGGGGCCCAAAGGGUCCAAAAUUGAACUUUGUUUGAUUUCAUCAAAAAUUGAAUAAUUGGGGUUCUUUGAUAUGCUAAAUCUAACUGUGUAUGUAGAUUCUUAAUUUUUGGUCCGUUUUCAAAUUGGUCUACAUUAAGGUCCAAAGGGUCCAAAAUUAAACUUAGUUUGAUUUUAACAAAAAUUGAAUCCUUGGGGUUCUUUAAUAUGUUGAAUCUAAAAAUGUACUUAAAUUUUUGAUUAUUGGCCCAGUUUUCAAGUUGGUCCAAAUCGGGGUCCAAAAUUAAACUUUGUUUGAUUUCAUCAAAAAUUGAAUAAUUGGGGUUCUUUGAUAUGCCAAAUCUAACUGUGUAUGUAGAUUCUUAAUUUUUGGUCCCGUUUUCAAAUUGGUCUACAUUAAAGUCCAAAGGGCCCAAAAUUAAACUGUUUGAUUUUAACAAAAAUUGAAUUCUUGGGCUUUUUUGAUAUGCAUAUACUUAGAUUUUUGAUUAUGGGCCCAGUUUUCAAGUUGGUUCAAAUCAGGAUCCAAAAUUAUUAUAUUAAGUAUUCAGCAAUACCAAGAAAUCUUCAUUGCACAGUAUUGUGCAAUAGCAAGCAAUUUCAAUUGCACAGUAUGCGCAAUACCAAGAAAUCUUCAAUUGCACAGUAUUGCGCAAUAGCAAGAAAUCUUCAAUUGCACAGUAUUGCGCAAUAGCAAGAAAUAUCUAAUUGCACAAUAUUGUGCAAUAGCAAGAAAUUUUCAAUUGGAGUUAUCUUUCUUUGUCCAGAAUAGUAGUUGAAUCAACUUAAAUCAUUGUUUUAUACAAUAUACAAUGUAUAUUCACUUUUACUACCAACUGAUAAAAUUAAAACAAUCUUUACCAUUCAGUGAUAACAAGCACUUUAUUUUACAUUUUAAUAUUUUUAUGAUGUAUUUAAAUGAGUAGUUAUUGUUGCAAACUCCAUUAGGAAUUUGAAUUGAGAUCAGUUUUGGAAAAAGGGAAAGGGGGAUGUGAAAAAAAAAUGGGGGGGGGGGGUUAAAUUUUUCUCAUUUCAGAUUUCAUAAAUAAAAAGAAAAUUUCUUCAACAUUUUUUUGAGAGGAUUAAUAUCCAAACAGCAUAGUGAAUUGCUCAAAGGCAAAAAAAAAUUUAAGUUCAUUAGACCACAUUCAUUCUGUGUCAGAAACCUAUGCUGUGUCAACUAUUUAAUCACAAUCCAAAUUUAGAGCUGAAUCCAGCUUAAAUGUUGUGUCCAUACUUGCCCCAACUGUUCAGGGUUCAACCUCUGCGGUCGUAUAUAGCUGCGCCCUGCAGAGCAUCUGGUUGAUUAUUGGCCCAGUUUUCAAGUUGGUCAAAAUCGGUGUCCAAAAUUAAACUUUGUUUGAUUUCAACAAAAAUUGAAUCCUUGUGGUUCUUUGAUAUGCUGAAUCUAAACUUGUAUUAAGAUUUUUGCUUAUGGGGCCUGAGUUUUCAAGUUGGUCCAAAUCGUGGUCCAAAAUUAAACUUUGUUGGAUAUCAACAAAAAUUGAAUCCAUGAGAUUCUUUGAUAUGCUGAAUCUAAACAUGUAUUUAGAUUUUUUACUAUAGGCCAAGUUUUCAAGUUGGUUCAAAUUGGGGUCCAAAAUUAAACUUUGUUUGAUUUCAUCAAAAAUUGAAUAAUUGGGGGUUCUUUGAUAUGCCAAAUCUAACUGUGUAUGUAGAUUCUUAAUUUUUGGUCCCGUUUUCAAAUUGGUCUACAUUAAAGUCCAAAGGGCCCAAAAUUAAAACUGUUUGAUUUUAACAAAAAUUGAUUUCUUGGGCUUUUUUGAUAUGCAUAUACUUAGAUUUUUGAUUAUGGGCCCAGUUUUCAAGUUGGUUCAAAUCAGGAUCCAAAAUUAUUAUAUUAAGUAUUCAGCAAUACCAAGAAAUCUUCAAUUGCACAGUAUUGUGCAAUAGCAAGCAAUUUUCAAUUGCACAGUAUUGCGCAAUAGCAAGAAAUCUUCAAUUGCACAGUAUUGCGCAAUAGCAAGAAAUAUCUAAUUGCACAAUAUUGUGCAAUAGCAAGAAAUUUUCAAUUGGAGUUAUCUUUCUUUGUCCAGAAUAGUAGUUGAAUCAACUUAAAUCAUUGUUUUAUACAAUAUACAAUGUAUAUUCACUUUUACUACCAACUGAUAAAUUAAAACAAUCUUUACCAUUCAGUGAUAACAAGCACUUUAUUUUACAUUUUAAUAUUUUAUGAUGUAUUUAAAUGAGUAGUUAUUGUUGCAAACUCCAUUAGGAAUUUGAAUUGAGAUCAGUUUUGGAAAAAGGGAAAGGGGGGAUGUAAAAAAAAAUGGGGCGGGGGGGGGGGGGGGGGUUAAAUUUUUCUCAUUUCAGAUUUCAUAAAUAAAAAGAAAAUUUCUUCAAACAUUUUUUUGAGAGGAUUAAUAUCCAACAGCAUAGUGAAUUGCUCAAAGGCAAAAAAAAAUUUAAGUUCAUUAGACCACAUUCAUUCUGUGUCAGAAACCUAUGCUGUGUCAACUAUUUAAUCACAAUCCAAAUUUAGAGCUGAAUCCAGCUUAAAUGUUGUGUCCAUACUUGCCCCAACUGUUCAGGGUUCAACCUCUGCGGUCGUAUAUAGCUGCGCCCUGCGGAGCAUCUGGUUGAUUAUUGGCCCAGUUUUCAAGUUGGUCAAAAUCGGUGUCCAAAAUUAAACUUUGUUUGAUUUCAACAAAAAUUGAAUCCUUGUGGUUCUUUGAUAUGCUGAAUCUAAACUUGUAUUAAGAUUUUUGCUUAUGGGGCCUGAGUUUUCAAGUUGGUCCAAAUCGUGGUCCAAAAUUAAACUUUGUUGGAUAUCAAAAAAAAUUGAAUCCAUGAGAUUCUUUGAUAUGCUGAAUCUAAACAUGUAUUUAGAUUUUUUACUAUAGGCCCAGUUUUCAAGUUGGUUCAAAUUGGGGUCCAAAAUUAAACUUUGUUUGAUUUCAACAAAAAUUGAAUAUAUAUGCUGGAUCUAACCAUGUAUUUAGAUUUUUGAUAUUGGACCAUAAUAGGUAAAUGUCCAAUUUAAAAAUUUUAAGUUUUUAAGUUUAAGUUCUUAGAACCACAUUCAUUUCUGUGUCAGAAACCUAUGUUGUGUCAACUACUUAAUCACAAUCCAAAUUCAGAGCUGUAUCAAGCUUGAAUGUUGUGUCCAUACUUGUCCCAACUGUUCAGGGUUCAAAUUCUGUGGUGGUAUAAAGCUGUGCCCUGCGGAGCAUCUGGUUAGGGACUUGAAAUUCAAAAAUUGAAGGGAAUAAAAGGGUUAUCAAACAGUAUUUUAGUAAAUCGUUUUUAUUCUUAUAAUCAUGUCGUUUUCAAUGAAGAUCUACAUAGGUGGCCUUUCUGAAGGGACGACAUCAAAAGUUCAAUGUAGGAUAAAAAACUUAAUUCACAUAGUUUUUUCACUGACACCCCCACCCCCUCUUAACUUAAUUUGGGAAAAAUUGAUUUACCAAUAGGGAUACAUGUAAAAAUCGAUUUUAGAUAUACAAAACUUGUAGAAUUUUAACCCCCCACCCCCAAACUAUUUGAUUUAAGUUUUUUAUCCUACAUGGAUCUUUUGAUGUCUUCCGUAAUUCUGUAUUAGUUUUUGAUGAUUCACAUUAAUAAAUCAUUGUUACAGUAAUUAAAGACCAAACCUUUUAAGAUGUUGGACAUAAUAAUUUAAUCUUUUCAAGAUAUUUAUAAAGAAUAAUUUCUAUAUAUGAUCAAAAGGUUUCUAUAAAUAUUAAAAAGAUGACCUUAUAUAGUUGAAAAGUAUCUGAUAGGCUUAAGGAUAUGAAUAACAUUGUAUAAUGAAUAUACAAAUAAAUAAACAUAAAUCUAUUUAAAUAUCUAUUUAAUCCAUUAAAGCCCAUCUUAUGUCAUCAGAGGACAAUAUUGACAGGUCAAAUCAAGGUCAAAUGUUUAUAAAGAUCCUUUAUUUAUAUGAAGAUGAGGUCAGUUAUUCAAUUUUGACCACAUUGUCAAAACCCCAGAAAUUAAACCUUUGGACUUAGUUAGAGAGAGGUAUAUUUUUGAAGGUAUGUAUCGUUAUCGGAAAACUAAAGAAAACAAAAAAGAAAUAUGCAUCUUAAAUUUAUAUUAUAUUUUCAUCUAAUUUCCUCUAAAUUUUGAUACUGAAAAUAAGAAUUAUUUUUAAUUGGAUAAUUUUUUUAAAGACCAUCCCUAUUUUAAAUAUUUCAAAUAUUAUCAUCAAAAUAAUACUUAAUUUGGUAAAGAAAAGCAUUCAAUUUUACAUAACAAAUAAAUAUUUGUAAAUUGGCCUAGAACAUCAACUUUGGAAUAGUUGAAAACCUUAUCUUAUUUCUGUGAAAAAUAGGCCAAAUAAUGCCCUUGGCACCCUUUAUAUGUUUUUUAGCUCACCUGGCCCGAAGGGCCAAGUGAGCUUUUCCCAACACUUGGCGUCCGGCGUCCGGCGUCGUCCUGCGUUAACUUUUACAAAAAUCUUCUCCUCUGAAACUACUGGGCCAAAUUGACCCAAACUUGGCCACAAUCAUCAUUGGGGUAUCUUGUUUAAAAAAUGUGUCCGGUGACCCGGCCAACCAACCAAAAUGGCCGCCAUGGCUAAAAAUAAAACAUAGGGGUAAAAUGCAGUUUUUGGCUUAUAACUCAAAAACCAAAGCAUUUAGAGCAAAUCUGACAUAGGGUAAAAUUAUUUAUCAGGUCAAGAUCUAUCUGCCCUGAAAUUUUCAGAUGAAUCGGAUAACUCGUUGUUGGGUUCCUGCCCCUGAAUUGGUAAUUUUAAGGAAAUUUUACUGUUUUUGGUUAUUAUCUUGGAAAAUUAUUAUAGAUAGAAAUAAACUGUAAACAGCAAUAAUGUUCAGCAAAGUAAGAUUUACAAAUACCCAUAUAGGAGUUAUUGCCCUUUAUAGUCAAUUUUUAACCAUUUUUCGUAAAUCUUAGUAAUCUUUUACAAAAAUCUUCUCUGAAACUACUGGGCCAAAUUUAUCCAAACUUGGCCACAAUUAUCUUUGGGGUAUCUAGUUUAAAAAAUGUGUCCGGUAACCCGGCCAACCAACCAAGAUGGCCACCAUGGCUAAAAAUAGAACAUAGCGGUAAAAUGGGGUUUUUGGCUUAUAACUCAAAAACCAAAGCAUUUAGAGCAAAUCUGACGGGGUAAAAUUGUUUAUCAGGUCAAGAUCUAUCUGCCCUGAAAUUUUCAGAUGAAUCGAACAACCCGUUGUUGGUUUGCCCCUGAAUUGAUAAUUUUAAGGAAAUUUUGCUGUUUUUGGUUAUUAUCUUGAAUAUUAUUAUAGAUAGAGAUAAACUGUAAACAGCAAUAAUGUUCAGCAAAGUAAGAUUUACAAAUAAGUCAACGUGACCGAAAUGGUCAGUUGACCCCGUAAGGAGUUAUUGUCCUUUAUAGUCAAUUUUCAACAAUUUUUAUAAAAUUUGUAAAUUUUUACUUACAUUUUCCGCUGAAACUACUGGGCCAAGUUCAUUAUAGAUAGAGAUAAUUGUAAGCAGCAAGGAUGUUCAGUAAAGUAAGAUGUACAAACACAUCACCAUCACCAAAAUACAAUUUUGUCAUGAAUCCAUCUGCUUGCUUUGUUUAACAGUCACAUAGACCAAGGUGAGCGACACAGGCUCUUUAGAGCCUCUAGUUAUUGUAUAAAUCAGGCUGCUGGCCUUCUUUUUUGAAUUGUUUCAUAUUUUUCCAUGCAGGGGCCUUAAAUACAUAAUAUAUAUCUUUAAUACUGUAUGGCUUUUGCUUAUCGUGUUUAUAGUGUACAAUGUAUAUUUUAGUCUCUGGAUAAUAGUUGUUUUAUCGGCAACCAUACCACAUCUACUUUCUCUGUUUAACUGUAAACUGUCCUAUUAAGAUAAUUUCAGUUUAGUAAUUUUAAUUUUAAUUUAAAAAUGGUUGAAAUUUCAUUCAUAAAAUUUAGCUGAUUCACACUUAAUUAUUUAUUGAGCAAAUUAGAUUUAAAAAUUGCACUGGUAUAUCGAAUUUAGGUAGGUAUAUUAUUGGACAAAUAUUGUUUGCUACACAGGAAUUUGAAGGUUAUAAUUGUUAUCAACAAUUAUGUGUGUAUAGAUAGAGAGUCUAUUAUUGGCAAAGAUUUUAUUCAAAUUACUUAAUUUAUAUGAAAGGUUUACAUAUUUAAGAUAAAGACUUCGUUGUGGUAGUUAAUAUACAAUAUACCAUAAUACACUUUGGUAAGUUUAUUUUAUGUACAUUAGUAGAAUACCCAAUGGGUAGUUACAUCUAUGGUAGAAGUAUUUUAUAUUAAAAAGGGAUACUGAGUAUUCACUCAUUUUGUUAUCUACUAUUCGAGAAGUCAAAACAUUUUAGUAAAAUUUCAGACGUAAAAUUAUGCAGAAUUUCAAUGCCUACUGAAGAAAUUGUAUCAAAAUUCAUUAAAUAAAGAUGAACAUCAAAAUCUUUCCAUAUUAGCUUACACACAGUGACCAGAGAUUCAAAAUGUCUACUUUUAAAUUUGUUGCAUUUCCGUCAAAAUUUUUGGUUCACAUGUAAUUAGUGAACAUCAUUCUUCUUUCACAUGUUGAUCUAGUCAGGGAGGUUGAAAAAAAAUAAUGUUCUAAAUAUUGGAAGAAUUAUUUGGCAAAUUAAUUUCUUAUAAUAAAUAAAUUAAAUAGUGCAGGGAUACAGCCGGUCCCGGGCCUCUAUUUGGUAAAUGACGUCAUUAAGGUCUCAGUGCUUUUUAAAAUUUACAAACUUUUCCGGUGGAGGACAUAACUUGAAAGUGGACUAUUGUUCUUUAUGCAUUUGACAUGGUAUUAAGGAGGGGGAAUAUUAAUAUAUCCACAGAAUGGAUCAUUUUUGACUAUAAAAAUGUCUUUAUUUUAGGAGGUGGGUGCAGCAUUGAUGGGUGUUAGGAUUGGGAAAAUACAUAUAAAAAUUGUUGUAAAAAUUUUGAAUGAAAUUAAAAGUUUUAUCUAAAACCUAUAUGGUCAUAAUUCAGAGAUUGCUGAAAACUUUAGUAUAAUGCUGCAGAUCUUAUAGGGUCUUGAAUAACCUUGAACAACGAGUAAGUCCACAAUAUACAGUAAAGCUUAAUUCAAGGCCCCUGUAUGACAAAUAUUUGUCCUUGGAUAUUAUUGUAGAUAACAUAUGUUGUAACGGUUAUUAAACAUGUUUAAAACUGGAAGGAAGUACAAACGUAUAAGGAAUUUGUGGGGUGAAAAUUAAGUGUAAAUAAAAAUCUCAAACACAUCGUAAUUACUAUUUUUUUAGACAAUUUUUUUCCCAUUUUGGUUGACAUAAAAUUAUGUUUUUGAAAUUUUAUUUUUCUUUUCUAUACUUAAAAAAAUGAUGAAAUGUAUACUGUAUAUUUCCUCAGUAUAUUUCAUCCACUAUAAAAUUUUAAAUCAGCAGUUAUAAAAGUGUACUUGAUAUGUGAUGAAUAUCACCCCUUAAAAGUUGAAAUGGUAUAGAUCCAGACAUACUGGUGCACCUGUACUUAGUUUAGAGAUGUAAGAAAAAUGACACCGGAAGGAUGAAUUCAGGAAUUUCUGUGAAAUAGAGAGCUUAAAUCAAAACUUUGGAUAUAUUUUAUAAUUUUUUUAUUGAAAGGUAAAAUAUAUUUCUCAUUUAUGCACAAAUUAACAAAAAAAAAUAAGUAGAAAUAAUUUUGUCCUUUUGAAGUUAUUGAAUGUGUACAUGAUAUCUACAUGUAAGCAUUUGUAAAAAAUAAAUAAUUCAUUGUGAUAUGUGAAAAAUUAAAAGUCACAUAAUCAAAGCUAUUAUCAAUCUGAGGUAUAUGCUUUUUUUUAUUGUGGAGAAUAUUCAAUACUGUAGAGAAUAAUUAAGUCAUGUAUACAAUUUGUGAGUAGCAUAUUUUUAUCUUUUGAUAAAGGUUUGACGUUUUAAUGGUAUUCUUGAUAAUUUUAUUUGAAACAUUUUUCCUAGAAAGUAUGAAAUGUAUACUGUGCAUGUAGUUUGAUAAUUGUCAAAAUUUUAAUUCAUCCAUCAAGUUAAGGCUUGAAUGUACAGUGGCGGAUCCAGCCAUUUGAAAAAGGGGGGGUUCCCAACCCAGGACAAAGGGGGGGGGUUCCAACUAUAUGUCCCCAUUCAAAUGCAUUGAUCGUCCAAAAAAGGGGGAGGUUCCAACCCCGGAACCCUCCCCCUGGAUCCGCCACUGAUGUAUGUGAAAAGUAAAUGUCACCCAUCAGAGACAAAAAAAUGAUAACUCUAUAUAUAUAUUGAAUUAAAUUAAAAAUACAUCUGUCUUUUAUCUGGUACAAAGAUCAAUCUUCUUCCUGCAUUGGUUUAUAUCUCCAUGGAAAAAAUGGCUAAUUAUGUGAUAAAUUGGUACGUAAUAAUGAGUUGUCAUGUUACAGCUGUUUAUUACAUAACUCCACAAGACAUGAUAACAACGCGAAUUUAUAGCAAAAUAGAAAUGAAAAUAUAUAGUUUUACCAGAAUUUUGAUACAAAACAUGACUGAACUGAAAUACAGACUUUGGCAUUUUUGAAAGCAGUUUUUAGCUCACCUGGCCUAAAGGGCCAUGUGAGCUUUUCUCAUCACUUGGCGUCCGUCGUCCGUCAUCCGUCGUCCGUCGUCGUUGUUAACUUUUUACAUUUUGAACUUCUUCUAGAGAACCACUGAAUGGAACUAAACCAAACAUGGCAUGAAUGUUCCUUAUGAGGUGCUGACCAAGUGUUGUUACUUUGUAGCUGAUCCAUCAUCCAAGAUGGCCGCAAGCGGGGGACUUAGUUUAACAUAGGACCCAACAUAUGACUUCUUUUAGAGAACCACUGAAUGGAAUAAAACCAAACAUGGCAUGAAUGUUCCCUAUGAGGUGCUGACCAAGUGUUGUUACUUUGUAGGUGAUCCAUCAUCCAAAAUGGCCGCCAGCGGGGGACUUAGUUUAACAUAGGACCCAAUGGGAAAUGCAUACAAAUGACUUCUUUUAGAGAACCACUGAAUGGACAAAACCAAACAUGGCAUGAAUGUUCCCUAUGAGGUGCUGACCAAGUGUUGUUACUUUGUAGCCGAUCCAUCAUCCAAUGUGGCCGCCAGUGGGGGACUUAGUUUAACAUAGGACCCUAUGGGAAAUGCAUACGAAUGACUUCUUUUAGAGAACCACUGAAUGGAAUGAAACCAAAAAUGGCAUGAAUGUUCCUUAUAAGAUGCUGACAAAGUGUUGUUACUUUGUAGGUGAUCCAUCAUCCAAAAUGGCCGCCAGCGGGGGACUUAGUUUAACAUUGGACCCAAUGGGAAAUGCAUACAAAUGACUUCUUUUAGAGAACCACUGAAUGGAAGGAAACCAAACAUGGCAUGAAUGUUUCUUAUAAGGUGCUGACCAAGGGUUGUUACUUUGUAGCCAAUCCAUCAUCCAAGAUGGCCGCCAGUGGAGGACUUAGUUUAACAUAGGACCCUAUGGGAAACGCAUACAAAUGACUUCUUUUAAAGAACCACUGAAUAGAAUGAAACCAAACAUGGCAUGAAUGUUCCCUAUGAGGUGCUGACCAAGUGUUGUUACUUUGUAGCCGAUCCAUCAUCCAAGAUGGCUGCCAGCGGGGGACUUAGUUUAACAUAGGACCCUAUGGGAAAUACAUACAAAUGUCUUCUUAUAGAGAACCACUGAAUUGAAUGAAGUCAAACAUAGCAUGAAUGUUCCUUAUGACAUGCUGACCAAGUGUUGUUACUUUGUGGCCAAUCCAUCAACCAAGGUGGCUUCCAGCAGGGGACUUGGUUUAACAUAAGACCCUAUAGGAAAUACAUACAAAUGUCUUCUUUUAGAGAACCUGACUGAAUUGAAUGAAAGCAAACAUAGCAUAAAUGUUCCUUUCUUAAUGAGGUGCUGGUCAAGUGUUGUUACUUUGUAGCCAAAUUUUUAUAUGAUUUCAAAAACCCAAGUAGAAUCAGGUGAGCGAUACAGGCUUUUGAGAGCCUCUAGUUUAUUAUCAAAAUGACAUUUAGGCAGAGAAAACACAAGUCAAAUGUUGCCAAAAACAAGAAAGUUUUUAUUUGAAUUCUUAAGAAGUUUGUGUUGCUUAGUCUUUAUAUAUAGUUUCUAUGUUGUGUCUUGUGUACUAUUAUUUGUGUGUUUGUCUUUUUCUUUUUUAGCCAUGGCGAUGUCAGUUUUUUUUUACUUCAAUAAUGAGUUUGAACAGUCCCUCUGAUAUCUUUCGCCCCUCUUUGAAGGUAAAAUAAAUUUGAAUGCAAAUCUUAAAAAUCCUGAAAUGAGCCCAAUCCAUUUCAUCAGCUGUCUAAAUUCACCCAGCCUAAUAAUUGCCAUCAUUUGUAUAUUUACAAAUAGUAUAUGUUACCUAUGUGGGAGUAUCUGGCUGAGGUAUUUAUUUUGUACUUGAUAAAUAUAUAUUUCAUUUUAUUGGGUGGUAUUAAAUGUUUCUUCAAAGAUAUAUAUAACAAGGUAAACAUAUGGAAUUGAUUGAAAUUGAACAUGUUAAAAGGUAUUUCAGAAGUGCAUCAAAUAUCUUUGUUGUUAGAUGUUAAAGGUGACAUAACUUUCAAUAAACAUUAUUUUGAUGCAAUUGAAGUUUAAAAACAGGAACGUGACUGAUCUGAGGAAAAUAUUUAUUAUGGAAGGAAAGUUAAAAUCAUUAGAUAUAAAUAGAAAUAUUUAACCAACAAUUACAUGUAUAUUUCAAUCAACAACCCUGAUAUUCCUUUGUCAAUUUUAAAUGUCACAUGUAAACUUUUGAACUUAGAUAUAUAGGUACUAAUACAUGUAGCAUUGUUGAUAAUGCCAAAUGAGUUUUGUUUUUUGGUCCAGGUAGUUUAUGAUGAAGUUGAAGUACAAUCAACUUGAAACUUAGUACACAUGUUCCCUAUGAGAUGAUCUUUUUAGUUUUGACCCCAAUUUCACGGUCAACUGAACAGAGAAGUAAGUGGGAGUUGGUGAUCCUGUACUAUUAAAUCAUUAACAUGGUCAAUUAUAACUUUAAUGUAGAUUCACCUGGUUUCUUUACUUAUCUUGGUCACUGAUGAACCAGUUUACAUGAUCCUGGCAAAAAGAAAAGUCAUAUAUAUAUUUAUAUAUAAUAAAAACUAAAACAAAAAUUCCCAUAAGUCUCGGCCAUUACGGUCUUCUUCAUUGGAAUAAAUUACAACAUUGAACCAACAAUUACAUAGCUUGGAUACAUAACGUUAUAACUGCUGUGACUUAUAAUUGAUGCAAACUUAGGAAAUCAUGUUAAAAGUCAAUUACCGGAAGUUGGCGUCCUGUCCCUGUUUAUGGCGGAAGAGAUUCUUUAUAUCAAUUUCAUGAAUUGUUAAUUGUUUCUUGAAUGGAACUCUAAUAAUUCUGAAAUGAAUCAACUUUUAGUGAUUGAUAGAAAAAUUAGGGGAUGAGGUAUGAAUUUGGCAAUGAGAAAACUGUACUAUAAUUAAGUCUUCCAUAAAAGGCCUUGACAUGAAAUGUGAAAUAAUUCAAAUAAGAAAAACUAACUGCCUUAUUUAUGAAAUAACUAUUAAUGAAAAACAAAAGGGACACAUGCACAGUAUGAAUAAAAAGCCUUAUUUUUGUACAUUUUGUUGAAAAGGAACUGACAUUAAUGACAUUGAUGCAAGACAGAGCUAGUCACCACUUAAAUUGCAUUGCAGCAUUUUUUUUCCUUCUUGCUCUCAUUAAUGGAUUUGACCUGGAUCUGUUUUGGAGACUCAUUGGCUUUAGGGAUGCCUCAAGACUAAUUGUAUAUUUAUAGAUUGACCUGGAUCUGCUUUGGGGACUCAUUGGCUUUAGGGAUGCCUCAAGACUAAUUGUAUAUUUAUAGAUUGACCUGGAUCUGCUUUGGAGACUCAUUGGCUUAGGGAUGCCUCAAGACUAAUUGUAUAUUUACAGAUUGACCUGUUUCUGCUUUGGGGACUCAUUGCUUUAGGGAUGCCUCAAGACUAAUGUAUAUUUAUAGAUUGACCUGGAUCUGCUUUGGGGACUCAUUGGCUUUAGGGAUGCCUCAAGACUAAUUGUAUAUUUAUAGAUUGACCUGGAUCUGCUUUGGAGACUCAUUGGCUUUAGGGAUGCCUCAAGACUAAUUGUAUAUUUACAGAUUGACCUGGAUCUGCUUUGGGGACUCAUUGGCUUUAGGGAUGCCUCAAGACUAAUUGUAUAUUUAUAGUUUUACCUGGCUUUGAGGGAUGCAUUAAUGGCUUUUGGGGAUGCAUGGAGGCUGAUUGUACAUCUGUAGAUUGAAAGGAAGCUUGAUGUAAAAUCUGUUACAAUUACAACUCAAGUAUGAUAUCAGACGAAUCAUGAUUGACAGGUUUCGUGCAGUUGCAUAAUAUUAGAUUGCAGUUGUUAGGCUUGAUUAAAUUUUCAAUGAAAGGUGGUUUUUUGGUAAGGGAAAUUUGCAGUUUGAAAUUGUUAAUUGCACAUUUCACAGAAAUUUUCUAUGCAAAAAUGUCUGUUAAUUGGGUAAAUCAAUUGCCUAUGGCAUUGUGUUGAAAAUUAGAUCAUUUAAUUUUCACUGAUGCUUUAAAAAAUGUAGCAUUCAUGCGUAUGUACUUUUGGGCUGCUUUCCAAGUUCAGUGAACGUAGAUGCAACAGAAAUUGAGUAUUUGCAGUAUUUAUAGAAGAAAAAAAUACAAGGAAGUACUCUGGUAAUUUUAAAAAGAGCUACAUGUAUUUUAAAAUUGUCUCUAAAAAAAUCAAGUUCUAAACAACUUGAGAUACUACAUGAGGCUGCAAUCAGAGCUGCUGUAAAAUUUUGAAAACAAAAUAUUUCAAACAUUAAUAAAGGGAGGAAUGUAGUAAAGGCUGUGCAUAUUAUACACAACUGGGUACUAUAAAAGCUAAAUAGGGUACAAUGGAGAAUCACUUUGGAAGAUUUGACAUUGUUUGCCUCCCUUGGAGUUAGUAGUAGAUUCACCCUUAGCUUAAAGUUGCUGUUAAUGUGUUAUUACAAUGCAUCUAUAUAUAGCUACAUUUCUAAAGAUUACAAUGGGAAAAAUAUCAGACAGUCAUGAGCCAUUGGCUGCUAUAAAUUAGUCCAUUAUGAAAAGUCUUAGAUUGACAUCCCCAUCCUCAUCAAUAAACAAAUAAAAAAAUUAUAAUUUGAAAUAUGGCUAUUUUAUUUUUAUUUUGAUAGAAGUUUAAAAUAAUAAUUUGCAAAAAUAUAAAGAAUUAAAUGACAGUGAAAUAUGGUCUUUGGACUAUGACAGUGCUAGCCUCUUUUUGAUAUUGGAAAGACAAUGCAAUUUUGUAUCAAUGUUUUUUCUUAUUUCAGGUGGAUAUUCUAGUCAGCCAUGGGGGCAGAAGAAAGUAAAGGAAUAAAUUAUGGCUUGAUGGGGCCUACUACAGUGGUGGCCAACAUGAACCGUCAAGCCCAAGCUGCCAGACCAUGGUCUCUUUUACAUAUGUGUUCAGUGGACCAGUGGAAAUCAGGGCAUGCAG
RNAcentral lists this long non-coding RNA (28879 nucleotides) under Mytilus galloprovincialis (Mediterranean mussel). Lineage: Eukaryota; Metazoa; Mollusca; Bivalvia; Mytilida; Mytilidae. The record is from RNAcentral.